Molecule: ribosomal RNA, 497 nt
Filed under: uncultured bacterium
Lineage: Bacteria
Description: partial 16S ribosomal RNA
Rfam family: Bacterial small subunit ribosomal RNA
Source: RNAcentral
GAUGAACGCUGGCGGCGUGCUUAAUACAUGCAAGUCGAGCGAACGGACGAGAAGCUUGCUUCUCUGAUGUUAGCGGCGGACGGGUGAGUAACACGUGGAUAACCUACCUAUCAGACUGGGAUCACUUCGGGACACCGGAUCUAAUCCCGGAUGAUCUUUUGAUCCGCAUGGUUCAAUAGUGAAAGACGGUGUUGCUGUCACUUAUAGAUGCAUCCGGGCUGCAUUAGCUAGUUGGUACGGUAACGGCUUACGAAGGCAACGAUGCAUAGCCGACGUGAGAGGGGGAUCGGCGACACUGGAGCGUGGACGCGGACAUUGCGCCUACGGUAGGCAGCAGAAGGGAAUCGGCGGCAAUGGGGGAAAGCCUGACGGAGCAGCGGCACGUGAGAUAUGAAGGUCUUCGGAGCGUGAAGAUGUGUUACUAGGGAUGAACAUAUUUGGAAGGAACUGUGCACAUCGUGACGGUACCUAAUCAGAAAGCCACGGCUAACUACGUG